CUCCGAAUCAAAUCAAAGACAUAUACUAUGCCUUUCCAGACAUUAUUUAUACUAGAUCAAUAGCCAAAGCUAUUGUGUGAACAUAUACUAUACAGGCCUAGGCUAGGCAACGAUUUUUAACAAACAGGAGAGUGGCAUCGUAGCCUUGAGGAAGGAGAUCGCUUGUGGACGUUGGGUGAUUUUUGUGCCAAGCGCAGCCUCCGCCAGCCACACCCUCACGUGCGUGCAACUGUGCGGGACUCUAUUUCUCACCAGAGCGGUCUGUACGCUUGGCCAUGCGUGCUUGUCUGUCGCGAGCACCCGCAGCAUCAGCAACACAAAGAGGGUCGAUGAGCUGUUAGAUUGGAGAUACAAGGCGCCGCCGGCAACUUCAAGGCCGAUUUGCGGGGGAAACGAGAUCACUUAUAAGAGAGGCGACGGCAGGGCAAAUUCCAGCCGUUCCGACGCCUGUUUGGAAGGAGGAAGAAGAGGGAGGCAGCGGAGAGGGGCUUUGAUGCAGUAGAGCUGAAGGCUAGCUUCUCCACAGGGGAAGUGUGCAACGGAGUCGUCUCAGAUGAUGAGGAGACCAAUCAACAUCUGAGUGUGUUUAUCCCAGAGGAAGCAGUACAGGAGCCCAGUCCAGAACAUACCAUGUCCCAGGAAAACGUCUCAGAUAAAGUCAGGAACCUGCAGGUGGGACUUAAACACACACAUGCACACACACACACACACAUGCACACACAGUCAGAUGUAUGUUCACAGUCUUGGUUGAUGACUCGUAAGUCAACCGUUGCCCCAGGUAACAAUCACUUACACUCUAACAGACACUU
Molecule: long non-coding RNA, 809 nt
Filed under: Oncorhynchus kisutch (coho salmon)
Lineage: Eukaryota; Metazoa; Chordata; Actinopteri; Salmoniformes; Salmonidae
Description: lncRNA (ENSOKIG00005018105.1)
Source: RNAcentral